GUAGCUAUAGUUCAAAGGUAGAACACUCGUAUGUGGCGCGAUAUAUCUGAGUUCAAGUCUCAGUAGUUAUC
This 71-nucleotide transfer RNA is filed under the name Drosophila guanche. RNAcentral's name for it is "tRNA.His". It matches the Rfam family "tRNA". Rfam says of the family: Transfer RNA (tRNA) molecules are approximately 80 nucleotides in length. Their secondary structure includes four short double-helical elements and three loops (D, anti-codon, and T loops). Further hydrogen bonds mediate the characteristic L-shaped molecular structure. tRNAs have two regions of fundamental functional importance: the anti-codon, which is responsible for specific mRNA codon recognition, and the 3' end, to which the tRNAs corresponding amino acid is attached (by aminoacyl-tRNA synthetases). tRNAs cope with the degeneracy of the genetic code in two manners: having more than one tRNA (with a specific anti-codon) for a particular amino acid; and 'wobble' base-pairing, i.e. permitting non-standard base-pairing at the 3rd anti-codon position. Lineage: Eukaryota; Metazoa; Arthropoda; Insecta; Diptera; Drosophilidae. The record is from RNAcentral.